CCUACGGGAGGCAGCAGUGGGGAAUAUUGCACAAUGGGCGAAAGCCUGAUGCAGCGACGCCGCGUGAGGGAUGACGGCCUUCGGGUUGUAAACCUCUUUCAGCAGGGAAGAAGCGAAAGUGACGGUACCUGCAGAAGAAGCGCCGGCUAACUACGUGCCAGCAGCCGCGGUAAUACGUAGGGCGCAAGCGUUGUCCGGAAUUAUUGGGCGUAAAGAGCUCGUAGGCGGCUUGUCACGUCGGGUGUGAAAGCCCGGGGCUUAACCCCGGGUCUGCAUUCGAUACGGGCUAGCUAGAGUGUGGUAGGGGAGAUCGGAAUUCCUGGUGUAGCGGUGAAAUGCGCAGAUAUCAGGAAGAACACCGGUGGCGAAGGCGGAUCUCUGGGCCAUUACUGACGCUGAGGAGCGAAAGCGUGGGGAGCGAACAGGAUUAGAUACCCUGGUAGUCCACGCCGUAAACGGUGGGAACUAGGUGUUGGCGACAUUCCACGUCGUCGGUGCGCAGCACGACAUAACGUUACCCGUCCGUCGGGAGGUACGGCCGCGACGACGUAAACCUAACAAAGAAGUAGUACGGACGNGAGACGAGCGACGACGACGACGACGGAGGAGG
This 610-nucleotide ribosomal RNA is filed under the name uncultured bacterium. RNAcentral describes it as "bacterial SSU rRNA". The stretch from base 1 to 523 matches the Rfam family "Bacterial small subunit ribosomal RNA", at positions 338 to 873 of the family's 1533-position model. The record is from RNAcentral.